Molecule: long non-coding RNA, 2324 nt
Organism: Oreochromis aureus
Lineage: Eukaryota; Metazoa; Chordata; Actinopteri; Cichliformes; Cichlidae
Exons: 3
Source: RefSeq, a predicted model, not a curated record
AAAACAGUCCUGCAGCUGAUGUGAUGCACCUUCUGGCCAGGUUUUCACAGUUUUUGUGACUGGGGGGGCUCUUCUCCUAAUGGGAGUGUAUGCAGGGAUCAGCAGCAUGGACAUGUGGUCUGACAAACCUAGAUGUGGUAGAGGGGUUGCUCUGUAGCCUUUUUGGAUGUUGCUGUAUGCUUUAUCCAAUGUGUUUUUCCCCCUGGUUGCACAUUUAAUAUGCUGUUCAAAUCUGGGGAAUACUGACCUUAAAUCAGCAUGGUUGAAGUCCCCAGCUAUAAUGUGCACUGCGUUUGGAUGGGAGUUCUGCUGGUUGCUUAUUGUCUUGUGCAGCUCCUCCAUGGCCGAGUUAGCAUUGGCAUCGGGUGGUACAUACACGGCCGUUACCAUGACAACAGUAAACUCGCGAGGUAUGUAGACGGGUCUGCACUUCACAGUCAAAUAUUCCAAAUCCGGGGAACAAUGGCUGUCUACAGUCUUUGUGUUUUUGCACCAGCUGUCAUUGGUGUAGAUGCAUAAACCCCCUCCUUUGUUCUUACCGGAGUGGCCGUUCCUGUCGUGACGGUGGACCGUGCAGCCUGCUAGCUCAAUAGCCGAGUCCGGAAUUGAUGGCUGCAGCCAAGUCUCUGUGAGCUGAGGAUCGUCCUGUAUGGACAGAGUGGACAGGGUAAAAGUACUCUAGGAGGCAUCAUCCUGGGCAACAGAGAAAUAUUCACUUCUAAUAAGGACUCAAAGAAGUGCCAUAAGGAAAGAAAGACCAUCACGGGUCGAGAAGUGGUUGUUGUCGACACUCCAGGUCUGUUUAAAGUAGGUGAUGAUCGAGAGGAAGUGGUGGAAGAGAUCAAGCGGUCCAUCAAACAUGCUGAACCUGGUCCUCAUGUCUUCCUGUAUGUGGAGAGGUUUAAAGAGAUCUCACAAGAGAAAUUAGACGCACUGAAGGUUUUUCAGGACACGUUUGGUAAACAGGCAAUGGACUACACUAUAGUGGUGUUCACCACUACAAUGAAGAAAAUCGACGACACUAUCAUGAAGGAAACACUGAAAUCCCUCACAAGAUUAACCGAUCAGUUCCAGCAAGGUAAUUGUGUUUUUAACAUUGAAGACAUCGAACAACAAGAGUCUCAACUCGACAAGCUGCUGGAGAUGAUAAAAAAGAUGACGGGAGAAAAACGUCAACCUUUCUACACGUCUAAGAUGCUCCAGGAGUCUGAAGAAGCUCUGAAAAUACGAAAGGAAACAAAACCAAAACCAGAAGAAGAGUGGCGCUCUUUUUAUGACCGGUGUGGUUUGAUUGGAAUGGCUGUCGGCUGUGCAGUAGGGUAUUUUAUUUGUGGUGGUGAGCUGACGCCUACAACAGGAGCUGGGGUUGGCGCUGUAGUUGGUAUGAUGCUGUUCGUGGGAAUAGCGUUUUUAGGCGUACUUGCUAAAAUUAAAAUUCAGGCAUGAUGCAGAUAGAUUUCAAACAGCGUCUUUGAUUUGUUGCUUACGCUGAUCAGACCAAAUCUAGUGUAGAAAACCAUAAAGGGGAAAUCAUGGUGGAUGUAUGUUUAGCUAUUUUAGUUAAUGUUGACAUGAUUUUACCUAAAUUUUUAUGCUGCAAUAGAUGUGGGCUGCUGCGUGCUUCCCAUCACGCACUGUUUCUUCUUAAUUCACCAUGUGUUUAUACACCUCUCUGCAUUUAGUUAUUGGUUCUUAUUAAUCUUCAUCCUGUCUUCCUCCCCUCUUCCCCAACCAGUCACAGCAGAAGGCCGCCCCUCCCUGAGUCUGGUUCUGCUGCAGAAUUCUUCCUGUUAAAAGGGAGUUUUUCCUUCCUACUGUCUCAUAGAGGGUCAUAUGAUUGUUGGGGUUUUCUCUGUAUAAUGUGAGGGUCUUUUCUGUACAGCUUAAAGCACCUUGAGACAACUGUUUUUGUCAUUUGGUGUUAAACUAAUAAAAUUGAAUUGAAAUGACCUGAACUGAAAAUCACAACAACAGUUGCCUCAAGGUGCUGGUGUUAUUAAAAGUGAUUUGUCACAUACCAAGUGGACCAAUACCCAACAAGACCAGCAAGUUACUGUAUCUACAAAUUCAGUAAAGAACUGUAAUAGUGACCAACUGCAAAUGGAGAGCUAUGUCCACAGAAUGAUCACAGUGGGUGUGGUUCAGCACCAUCACGGCCAGCAUCACUCACAAGCGAACCAUGAGAAGUGGGCCAGUUUUUCCACAACACUACAGGGCCAGUUUGUGGGGGCACCAAGGUGUUCCCAGGCCAGCCGAGAGAUAUAAUCUCUCCAGCGCGUCCUGGGUCUGCCCCGGGGCCUCCUGCCGUUGGAACAUGCCCGGAA